GAGGGCCUAACUGUCUCCUGUAGCCAAUCAAUGAAAUUGAUCUCACAGUACAAAUGCUGUGAUACAACUAUAAGACGAGAAGACCCUGUGGAGCUUUAAACCUUCCACAUUAACUAAUUACCCUCAACUACUAUUAGUAUAACGUGAGUUUUAAGUUGGGGCGACUAUGGAGUAAAAAUUAACCUCCAAGUAAUACGAUUAAACCUCGUUACACACGGCUAACAAGCCUAGUCAAAACACACGACCCAGUCAAACUGACUAUCGAACCAAGUUACCCCAGGGAUAACAGCGCCAUCCCCUUAAAGAGUCCACAUCG
This 316-nucleotide ribosomal RNA is filed under the name Phelsuma lineata (striped day gecko). RNAcentral describes it as "partial 16S ribosomal RNA". It matches the Rfam family "Bacterial large subunit ribosomal RNA", at positions 2006 to 2507 of the family's 2925-position model. The record is from RNAcentral. Lineage: Eukaryota; Metazoa; Chordata; Lepidosauria; Squamata; Gekkonidae.